This 776-nucleotide ribosomal RNA is filed under the name uncultured Methanosaeta sp. RNAcentral describes it as "bacterial SSU rRNA". It matches the Rfam family "Archaeal small subunit ribosomal RNA", at positions 205 to 981 of the family's 1478-position model. Lineage: Archaea; Methanobacteriati; Methanobacteriota; Methanomicrobia; Methanotrichales; Methanotrichaceae. The record is from RNAcentral.
AAGGAUGGGUCUGCGGCCUAUCAGGUAGUAGUGGGUGUAGCGUACCUACUAGCCUACGACGGGUACGGGUUGUGAGAGCAAGAGCCCGGAGAUGGAUUCUGAGACACGAAUCCAGGCCCUACGGGGUGCAGCAGGCGCGAAAACUUUACAAUGCUGGCAACAGCGAUAAGGGAACCUCGAGUGCCAGGUUACAAAUCUGGCUGUCGAGAUGCCUAAAAAGCAUUUCAUAGCAAGGGCCGGGCAAGACCGGUGCCAGCCGCCGCGGUAACACCGGCGGCUCGAGUGGUAACCGUUAUUAUUGGGUCUAGAGGGUCUGUAGCCGGCCGGAUAAGUCUCUUGAGAAAUCUGGCAGCUUAACUGUCAGGCUUUCAGGAGAUACUGUCUGGCUCGAGGCCGGGAGAGGUGAGAGGUACUUCAGGGGUAGGGGUGAAAUCUUGUAAUCCUUGAAGGACCACCAGUGGCGAAGGCGUCUCACCAGAACGGACCUGACGGCAAGGGACGAAAGCUAGGGGCACGAACCGGAUUAGAUACCCGGGUAGUCCUAGCCGUAAACGAUACUCGCUAGGUGUCGGCCACGGUGCGACCGUUGUCGGUGCCGUAGGGAAGCCGUGAAGCGAGCCACCUGGGAAGUACGGCCGCAAGGCUGAAACUUAAAGGAAUUGGCGGGGGAGCACCACAACGGGUGGAGCUUGCGGUUUAAUUGGAUUCAACGCCGGAAAUCUUACCGGGACCGACAGCAAUAUGAAGGCCAGGCUGAAGACUUUGCCGGAUUAGCU